GAUACUGUAGCCGCUGGAAGGGCAUAGGUUUGCAAAACUGAAGUUGAUGGUUCGAAUCCAUCCAGUAUCG
Roseburia sp. CAG:182 is the source of this 70-nucleotide transfer RNA. It matches the Rfam family "tRNA". From Rfam's summary of the family: Transfer RNA (tRNA) molecules are approximately 80 nucleotides in length. Their secondary structure includes four short double-helical elements and three loops (D, anti-codon, and T loops). The record is from Rfam. Lineage: Bacteria; Bacillati; Bacillota; Clostridia; Lachnospirales; Lachnospiraceae.